RNAcentral lists this ribosomal RNA (515 nucleotides) under uncultured bacterium. Its description in RNAcentral is "partial 16S ribosomal RNA". It matches the Rfam family "Bacterial small subunit ribosomal RNA", at positions 28 to 523 of the family's 1533-position model. The record is from RNAcentral.
GAUGAACGCUGGCGGCGUGCCUAAUACAUGCAAGUCGAGCGAAUGGAUUAAGAGCUUGCUCUUAUGAAGUUAGCGGCGGACGGGUGAGUAACACGUGGGUAACCUGCCCAUAAGACUAGGAUAACUCCGGGAAACCGGGGCUAAUACCGGAUAGCAUUUUGAACCGCAUGGUUCGUAAUUGAAAGGCGGCUUCGCCUGUCACUGAUGGAUGGACCCGCGUCGCAUUAGCUAGUGGGUGAGGUAACGGCUCACCAAGGCAACGAUGCGUAGCCGACCUGAGAGGGUGAUCGGCCACACUGGGACUGAGACACGGCCCAGACUCCUACGGGAGGCAGCAGUAGGGAAUCUUCCGCAAUGGACGAAAGUCUGACGGAGCAACGCCGCGUGAGUGAUGAAGGCUUUCGGGUCGUAAAACUCUGUUGUUAGGGAAGAACAAGUGCUAGUUGAAUAAGCUGGCACCUUGACGGUACCUAACCAGAAAGCCACGGCUAACUACGUGCCAGCAGCCGCAGUAA